Small nuclear RNA from Lepus europaeus (European hare), 187 nucleotides. RefSeq annotates it as U2 spliceosomal RNA. NCBI's taxonomy places the organism in Eukaryota, Metazoa, Chordata, Mammalia, Lagomorpha, Leporidae. The transcript has a single exon. The record is from RefSeq and is a predicted model, not a curated record.
AUCGCUUCUUGGCCUUUUGGCUAAGAUCAAGUGUGGUAUCUGUUCUUAUCAGUUUAAUAUCUGAUACGUCCUCUAUCCGAGGGAAAAAAAAAGAAAAAGAAAAGCUACUGUUGUUUGUAUGUUUAUUUUUAACCUCAACUUUACUGAAUUGGUCUAUCAGUUCUAACAGCUUUUUGGUGGAGUGUUU